CCUACGGGAGGCAGCAGUGAGGAAUAUUGGUCAAUGGACGAGAGUCUGAACCAGCCAAGUAGCGUGAAGGAUGACUGCCCUAUGGGUUGUAAACUUCUUUUAUAUGGGAAUAAAAUGUUCCACGUGUGGGAUUUUGUAUGUACCAUAUGAAUAAGGAUCGGCUAACUCCGUGCCAGCAGCCGCGGUAAUACGGAGGAUCCGAGCGUUAUCCGGAUUUAUUGGGUUUAAAGGGAGCGUAGGUGGAUUGUUAAGUCAGUUGUGAAAGUUCGCGGCUCAACCGUAAAAUGGCAGUUGAAACUGGCAGGCUUGAGUACAGGAGAGGUGGGCGGAAUUCGUGGUGUAGCGGUGAAAUGCUUAGAUAUCACGAAGAACUCCGAUUGCGAAGGCAGCUCACUGGACUGCAACUGACACUGAGGCUCGAAAGUGUGGGUAUCAAACAGGAUUAGAUACCCUAGUAGUC
RNAcentral lists this ribosomal RNA (460 nucleotides) under uncultured bacterium. RNAcentral describes it as "partial 16S ribosomal RNA". It matches the Rfam family "Bacterial small subunit ribosomal RNA", at positions 338 to 795 of the family's 1533-position model. The record is from RNAcentral.